UGGAUCCAGACUUUGAUUCUGGCUCAGGACGAACGCUGGCGGCGUGCCUAAUACAUGCAAGUCGAACGAAGCUUUCUUUCACCGAAUGCUUGCAUUCACCGAAAGAAGCUUAGUGGCGAACGGGUGAGUAACACGUAGGCAACCUGCCCAAAAGAGGGGGAUAACACUUGGAAACAGGUGCUAAUACCGCAUAACCAUGAACACCGCAUGAUGUUCAUGUAAAAGACGGCUUUUGCUGUCACUUUUGGAUGGGCCUGCGGCGUAUUAACUUGUUGGUGGGGUAACGGCCUACCAAGGUGAUGAUACGUAGCCGAACUGAGAGGUUGAUCGGCCACAUUGGGACUGAGGCACGGCCCAAACUCCUACGGGAGGCAGCAGUAGGGAAUCUUCCACAAUGGACGAAAGUCUGAUGGAGCAAUGCCGCGUGAAUGAAGAAGGCCUUCGGGUCGUAAAAUUCUGUUGUCAGAGAAGAACGUGCGUGAGAGUAACUGUUCACGUAUUGACGGUAUCUGACCAGAAAGCCGCGGCUAACUACGUGCCAGCAGCCGCGGUAAUACGUAGGUGGCGAGCGUUGUCCGGAUUUAUUGGGCGUAAAGGGAACGCAGGCGGUCUUUUAAGUCUGAUGUGAAAGCCUUCGGCUUAACCGAAGCAGUGCAUUGGAAACUGGAAGACUUGAGUGCAGAAGAGGAGAGUGGAACUCCAUGUGUAGCGGUGAAAUGCGUAGAUAUAUGGAAGAACACCAGUGGCGAAAGCGGCUCUCUGGUCUGUAACUGACGCUGAGGUUCGAAAGCGUGGGUAGCAAACAGGAUUAGAUACCCUGGUAGUCCACGCCGUAAACGAUGAGUGCUAAGUGUUGGAGGGUUUCCGCCCUUCAGUGCUGCAGCUAACGCAUUAAGCACUCCGCCUGGGGAGUACGGUCGCAAGACUGCAACUCAAAUGAAUUGACGGA
Molecule: ribosomal RNA, 949 nt
Filed under: uncultured Bacillota bacterium
Lineage: Bacteria; Bacillati; Bacillota
Description: bacterial SSU rRNA
Rfam family: Bacterial small subunit ribosomal RNA
Source: RNAcentral